UGGGGAAUAUUGGACAAUGGGCGAAAGCCUGAUCCAGCCAUGCCGCGUGUGUGAAGAAGGUCUUCGGAUUGUAAAGCACUUUAAGUUGGGAGGAAGGGCAUUAACCUAAUACGUUAGUGUCUUGACGUUACCGACAGAAUAAGCACCGGCUAACUCUGUGCCAGCAGCCGCGGUAAUACAGAGGGUGCAAGCGUUAAUCGGAAUUACUGGGCGUAAAGCGCGCGUAGGUGGUUUGUUAAGUUGAAUGUGAAAUCCCCGGGCUCAACCUGGGAACUGCAUUUGUGACUGUAUAGCUAGAGUACGGCAGAGGGGGAUGGAAUUCCGCGUGUAGCGGUGAAAUGCGUAGAUAUAGGAAGGAACACCAGUGGCGAAGGCGACUACCUGGACUGAUACUGACAGUGAGGUGCGAAAGCGUGGGGAGCAAACA
RNAcentral lists this ribosomal RNA (427 nucleotides) under uncultured bacterium. RNAcentral describes it as "bacterial SSU rRNA". It matches the Rfam family "Bacterial small subunit ribosomal RNA", at positions 355 to 774 of the family's 1533-position model. The record is from RNAcentral.